This 400-nucleotide ribosomal RNA is filed under the name uncultured bacterium. RNAcentral's name for it is "bacterial SSU rRNA". It matches the Rfam family "Bacterial small subunit ribosomal RNA", at positions 355 to 754 of the family's 1533-position model. The record is from RNAcentral.
UGAGGAAUAUUGGUCAAUGGGGGAAACCCUGAACCAGCAACGCCGCGUGUGGGAUGAAGGGGCUUUGCCCUGUAAACCACUGUCGGAGGGGAAGAAAAGCCGGGUUACCCGGCUGGGACUGUACCCUUAGAGGAAGGAUCGGCUAACUACGUGCCAGCAGCCGCGGUAAUACGUAGGAUCCAAGCGUUGUCCGGAAUUACUGGGUGUAAAGGGUGCGCAGGCGGGCUUGUGCGUCAGAGGUUAAAUACAUCGGCUCAACCGGUGAAAUGCCUUUGAUACGGCAAGUCUUGAGUACGAGAGAGGAUGGUAGAAUUCCUGGUGUAGCGGUGAAAUGCGUAGAUAUCAGGAGGAAUACCAGUGGCGAAGGCGGCCAUCUGGCUCGUUACUGACGCUCAGGCAC